UACGGAGGGAGCUAGCGUUGUUCGGAAUUACUGGGCGUAAAGCGCACGUAGGCGGAUCUUUAAGUCAGGGGUGAAAUCCCGGAGCUCAACUCCGGAACUGCCUUUGAUACUGGAGAUCUUGAGUCCGGGAGAGGUGAGUGGAACUGCGAGUGUAGAGGUGAAAUUCGUAGAUAUUCGCAAGAACACCAGUGGCGAAGGCGGCUCACUGGCCCGGUACUGACGCUGAGGUGCGAAAGCGUGGGGAGCAAACAGG
Molecule: ribosomal RNA, 253 nt
Filed under: uncultured bacterium
Lineage: Bacteria
Description: partial 16S ribosomal RNA
Rfam family: Bacterial small subunit ribosomal RNA
Source: RNAcentral